GUAACAAGGUUUCCGUAGGUGAACCUGCGGAAGGAUCAUUACUGAUUUGCUUAAUUGCACCACAUGUGUUUUUCUUUGAAACAAACUUGCUUUGGCGGUGGGCCCAGCCUGCCGCCAGAGGUCUAAACUUACAACCAAUUUUUUAUCAACUUGUCACACCAGAUUAUUACUAAUAGUCAAAACUUUCAACAACGGAUCUCUUGGUUCUCGCAUCGAUGAAGAACGCAGCGAAAUGCGAUACGUAAUAUGAAUUGCAGAUAUUCGUGAAUCAUCGAAUCUUUGAACGCACAUUGCGCCCUCUGGUAUUCCGGAGGGCAUGCCUGUUUGAGCGUCGUUUCUCCCUCAAACCGCUGGGUUUGGUGUUGAGCAAUACGACUUGGGUUUGCUUGAAAGACGGUAGUGGUAAGGCGGGAUCGCUUUGACAAUGGCUUAGGUCUAACCAAAAACAUUGCUUGCGGCGGUAACGUCCACCACGUAUAUCUUCAAACUUUGACCUCAAAUCAGGUAGGACUACCCGCUGAACCUAAGCAUAUCA
Molecule: unclassified non-coding RNA, 535 nt
Filed under: Candida albicans
Lineage: Eukaryota; Fungi; Ascomycota; Pichiomycetes; Serinales; Debaryomycetaceae
Description: sequence contains 18S rRNA gene, ITS1, 5.8S rRNA gene, ITS2, 28S rRNA gene
Rfam family: 5.8S ribosomal RNA (bases 181-334)
Source: RNAcentral